GAUGAAGAACGCAGCGAAAUGCGAUACUUGGUGUGAAUUGCAGAAUCCCGUGAACCAUCGAGUCUUUGAACGCAAGUUGCGCCCGAAGCCAUUAGGCCGAGGGCACGCCUGCCUGGGCGUCACACGUCGUUGCCCCCCCAUCUACUCCUUCGGGAUUGCGGGGGGCGGAUGAUGGCCUCCCGUGCGCCUCGUCGCGCGGUUGGCAUAAAUACCAAGUCCUCGGCGACGCACGCCACGACAAUCGGUGGUUGCGAAACCUCGGUUGCCCGUCGUGUGCGGUCGUCGCGCAUCGAGGGCUCGAAAAAAUUGCCGGGCUCCGGCUCGGCUUUCAACGCGACCCCAGGUCAGGCGUGGUUACCCGCUGAAUUUAAGCAUAUCAAUAAGCGGAGGA
This 391-nucleotide unclassified non-coding RNA is filed under the name soil metagenome. Its description in RNAcentral is "partial contains 5.8S ribosomal RNA, internal transcribed spacer 2, and large subunit ribosomal RNA". The stretch from base 1 to 122 matches the Rfam family "5.8S ribosomal RNA", at positions 35 to 154 of the family's 154-position model. The record is from RNAcentral.